UAACUCGUCGAAUCUGGUUUAGUCGUAACGUCUGACGCGUUAAAAUAGUUGAAUCGAAUAGCUAUUAGCUCGAAAUACCUUUCAAAAAAACACUUUCGCUUGAACUAAUUCGUGGUAAUGCAAAAGUGUUUACGGCAGUGAAACAUAAAAGUGUUAAAUUGUUUAAGCAAUUCUGAUUUUUUCCUCGGUAUGUCAGAAGGCGAGGCUACAGCGUCGCAGAAGAAACAGCAGCCAUUUCAGCAACAGCCGCAACUUGGAGUAGGCUCAAUGGCGAACAUGGCAUGGCAAUAUCCCUCGCCAAACAAUAUUCACAGCAUGUUUCCUUCAUAUUCAGGGCAGUUAUAUGGAGCAGGAUAUCAGGGUGUGCCUCAUCAAGGACAAACAUUUAGUUAUUACCAUGUAAUGAUGCCUGGAUAUGGACAACCUUUUAAUCAACAGCAGAUGCAACAGCAGCAGCAUCAACAGCAACAACAGCAGCAGCAGCAGCAACAACAACAACAACAGCAACAGCAGCAGCAACAGGGCAAUAAUCAAGGGAAACAGCUACAUCAACAGCCACCUGUACCUGGAACACCUAUGUCUUUGGAUGACGAUUCGGAUCUUCCUCCUUUACCUCCUGGUCCUCCGCCGUCUGUACAAACGUCUCAACAGCAUAACGCUCAAGUUCAGUCAUCCAUACAAACUCAUCCAGGAUAUAUGUACAAUUCAUUUCCGUAUGGUUCUUGGAACGGAAUGCAUGGUGAUAUGUCUCAGUACACUAAUCAGAUUCGUUUCAAUAUACAAAACAAAAAAAAUGGCUUAACAUUUUCUCCGUCCGGUAAUAGUGGAGCUGCAAAGAAAAAGCGUAAGAGGAAUAAAAAUUUAGCAGCCCAGUUCAACAAUAGCUUUCAGGCAAAUAGUCCAACGACAAAUUUUGUACCUGCUUCCAAUUUGAAGACAGAAUUACCACCCUUACCCCUCGCGCAGCGUGAAGUAGCAGCUCCUCCUCCACCAACCGAAGAAUCCCCCACCCCUACUACACCUGUUAUUUCGAGCGCUAACACAGCUCCUAGUGCUGGUUCUCCAGCGGUAGGUACUACUUCUGUCGUGACAAUUCCUAGCCCGGUUGUAGAAUGGCCCGACAGUUUGAAGAAUUACGUGAACAGAUGUUACGAAAAAUGUAAAACAGCUGUUGACAAGGAUCAAGUUGAAAUUAUAUUAAAAGGAAAAAUUACUCGCGCUGCGAACGAUGGCUCGCUUUGGGUGAAGGAUUGGGACCAAGAACCUUUGCCUAGUAUUCACAGCGAACGUAUGACCAUGACGAUAAAGCCUCAAAAGCCGACGUUAAAAUUGAAUAAUUUAGCGAAUCCGCUGUUGAAUACGCAGGGAGGCUUGCGCAAGCCAGGUCUCUCUACUUCUCUCGGGGCUCGGCAUGGUGCGCGUCUCUCUGUGAAUCACAAACGGUCGAGGUCGAGGUCUAGGACUAGAUCAAGAUCGAAGUCGAGGUCGAGGUCGAGAACAAGGUCGAGGUCGAGGUCGAGGUCGAAAUCGAGGUCACGUUCAAAUACACGUAGCCCACCGUCACGAAAAUACAGGCGUAGUACAUCGUCGUCGUCCAACGUUAGUGAUCGGGAACACGAUUAUAAAUCGAUAAAAACGAAAAAAUCCGCUAAAAAUAAACAGAGUCACAGCAGCAAGAAAUCAAAGAAGACUAAACAGAUGAAAUCACAUUUCUAUUCAGAGUUUGGUUUAGCUACAGGCAACGCCGAGGAAUUAGGAUCCAAGGAGAAAUUACAACAACGUGCUGCAAGAUUUAACGAUAGUAUUUCUAGGACUGUCAGCAACGGUGUUAAAGAUGAUUCUACCACAGAUUUUGAUUUUACCGGACUUCAUAUCGUAGGAAUCUGUAAGGACAUUGAAAAACCAUAUUUGCGAUUAACAUCGGCUCCAGCUCCCUCCGCUGUUCGACCGGUAAGUGUACUCCAAAAUUCUUUGGCACAUGUCAAGAAGCGCUGGGUGGCUGAUCAAGACUAUAGAUAUGCUUGUGAUCAACUUAAAUCCAUUCGUCAAGAUCUUACCGUCCAAGGUAUACGAGAUGCAUUUACAGUCCAUGUGUAUGAAACGCACGCCCGUGUAGCUCUAGAAAAAGGCGAUCAUGAAGAAUUCAACCAGUGUCAAACACAAUUAAGGAUGCUGUACCAAGAUGUCGGGGGAGAAAACCGAUGCGAAUUCGUCGCGUAUCGAAUAUUGUAUUAUAUUUUUACCAAAAAUAGUCAAGAUUUAACAACUAUUUUAGCGGCUUUGUCGGAAGAAGAUAAACACGACGAGUGCAUAAAACAUGCAUUAAAAGUGCGUUCGGCUUGGUGGCAGGGUAAUUUCCAUGCUUUUUUCAAGUUAUACACUUCUGCUCCAAGGAUGGCAGCCUUCCUAAUGGAUUGGUUUGUUGCGAGGGAACGCAAGAACGCCUUGAAAUGCAUGAUCAAGUCCUACCGGCAAAAUUUGGCGGUUGAUUUCGUCGUAGCAGAAUUGGCCUUUGAAUCUUUGGACAAGUUUUAUGAAUUUGUCAAUGAAUUUGGGUUGGUUUAUGCUGAUCCAGAACAACAUCUUAUCGACUGCAAGACAAGCAGUGGUUCUGUAGGUGCUUGGUAAAGCAACAGCACUCUUCUUUCGUGGAAGAUGUUAAAACAAACCAAAUGCAUUUGUGCAUAUUUGUAAGCACACACUCUUGUGCUGAAUUUGUAUAUGCAUGUGUUUCUGAUAUAUGCGUAUGUCUCUGUACAAACAUACGCAUAUGCAUGUGCAUAUAUCAUAGUACACGUUGACCUGUUACGAUAUAAUUCUUCUUACUGUCCCCUAAUAUUGCCCGUUCUUCGUUGCUCGACGAUAACCAGUCGGACAACAAUUUGUAAAUGAAAAUUUUCCCUGCGAUAAUUUGUAUCCCACAGUACAUAAUCACGAUGCGAAAACUCUUCUAUGAGGCUGAUAAAUACUAUACAAACAAUAGGAUGAUUAUUUUAAUCGUCCACUACUACCUCAAUAAAACACUCGGUAUGAAGCCGAGAAAUCUCGUGGUAAAUCAUGGGAAAAGAAAAGGAGGAAAAGAGAAUGAUAAAUUAUCUUCAGGAAAAUUUCGUUUGGGCGGAUUUCGAAUUCUUCGACCACAAUCAGUUUCCCUUCUUCAUUGACCUCGUUACAUAUUUUUGCUGCCACAUUUGAUGACUAUAAACAUCUUUUCAAACCAUAUUCUCAAAGGAUCCGAAGUUUCUUAACUAUUCGCCAGUGCUUUCGCCCAACAAGGAUACCAUUUUUAUUGUUAUUUCGAGGGAAGAAGCUCCAAAAUUUCGUACAGUGGACUCAAAAUCUUACUUCACCGUGUAUCGCAGAAUUCGGUGAUUCUCUUUCAACCAGACGCGGAAAAUUGGAAUUGAUUCGAGAAUAUAUGUACAGAAGAGCCUAAUAUUGAACAUAAAAAUCAACAUCAAGGAUCAAGGGUUUUCUCAAAAGAUUAAAGAAUUUUGCGGGCGUAAAGGAAAGAAGUUGACACACAGGACAUCGUGUCGAUACAGGAAGAAACGAAGCAAGAAGUAUUAUUUCUUUUUUGAAUACACAACUAGAAGUCUCCUACACUGGUCAAGUAUUCGAACGUAGCAUCAACGAGCAUGAACUUUUUAAACAGAACAUAUAUAUUGGUAUUAAAUGCCAUUCGCGUGUGAUGAGUGAUUCUUUUUAUCUUUUUAAGUGUUUACCGCGGGACAAUACUUUUUUUCUUCGUAUAUAGUUUAUUCGCCAAUUCUCGAGUGUUGAGAAUUUUGUCUUUACUUACGAUGUUCAGACAAAAUAAUAGUGGAAAGAAGAAAGGACGUACGUUUCAUUGUAUAAUUAUAUUCGGACACGGUGUUGUGCAUAAUAAAUUAUUUAAUUUUUGGAUAUUA
This 3911-nucleotide unclassified non-coding RNA is filed under the name Megachile rotundata (alfalfa leafcutting bee). RNAcentral describes it as "leukocyte receptor cluster member 8 homolog, transcript variant X3". The record is from RNAcentral. Lineage: Eukaryota; Metazoa; Arthropoda; Insecta; Hymenoptera; Megachilidae.